This is a non-coding RNA of Triticum urartu, 1993 nucleotides long. NCBI's taxonomy places the organism in Eukaryota, Viridiplantae, Streptophyta, Magnoliopsida, Poales, Poaceae. The record is from RefSeq and is a predicted model, not a curated record.
AGUGUGCACGGGCUUCUGUGAUGUCUGUGUUUGGAAUGGCAAGAUGGUGGGACCUUCCAGUUCCAGAGAUGGACUGCAGUUGAAGCUUAUGACCUUGCAUGAAGAGCCAUCCUGUGUGUUGCUGGGUUUCUGAAGCUGCUGCUGUCCCUGGAACCCAUGUUUGCUGUUGAACUGACUUGCUGGUGCCUCUGCAACUUGCAAUGAGCGGGAGGAGCUCUCCGAAGCAAAAUGUGAAGCUUGCAUCGGUUGCAUUGCGGAGAAGAGAUCUUGCUCAGUUGUCCCAGGCAAUGGAGGCCCCCAAGUGUGAGACAGCACCAUUUGCUGUGCCAUCGAACUGGUCUUCUUGAAGAUCUUACAUAUGGUCCAAGAGUCCUGUUUUGGGCAACAGAAAAGUGACCUUAAGAAUUUGACAUAACAUUUGAAUUUAGCUCUGUAACUACAUAAUAUGAAUUGAAAUGCUUACGUUGAGCGGGAUGUUCUUGUCGAUCGGUCUCUUGGGAAGUGAUGGAUCGGUUAGCGAAGGAAGCCUGAACUCAUGCAUCAUCCAGUCGGUUUUGAUCCCUCUUGCUGCCCUACCUCUGUAGAAGACAAGGGACUUCUUCAGGCCUAUGCACCUGGUGUCUUCGGAGGAGUAGAUCGGCCUGUCUGUUCCUGUGGCUUUCCAGAACCCAGCUGCUGUGACUCGGUUUGGCCUCGCGCUGUUGCGAUAUUUCCGGUCCCUCGGGCAGUAGAAGUACCAGUCCGUCUCACCGGUGCUCGCAAGCUCUGUCGUUGAGAAGGGAUAUGGAAGUUAGACUUUGCAGCAGUAAGGUGAGUAAUCCAUCUAUGUACUGUAGGCUAGCUUGUGAUGAGAAGAUGGUCAAUACUACUACUGAUUUCGUUCAACUGAACCUCCAGUGAACGGAUGAGCCCAAGACUUUCUUAACUAAAGAUUAAGGGUGAAACCAACUUAUGUUGAAUGAGCAUCCUAAUUCCUAGCCUCUCCUUGGAAGAUACUAGUACAAUCUUUGGAAUUCUCAAAAGUCAAUUGCGUCCAAUCUGUUAAAGAGAGAAAAAAAGAUGUAUAACAAGGAGAGGUAAGAAGAUGCAAGCUUACUUGGGAGGUCCCACGGGUCAAACUUGUAGAUGUCCAGCUGCCUGAUGAGCUCAAUAGAGAUAGGCUUUUGCUGGAUCUUCUUCUUGAGGUAGAAACUAACGAGCUCUUCGUCGGUAGGAUGGAACCGGAACCCCGGCAUGAUGAUCUCUUCUGAUUUGUCCAUGUUGACAUCAUUUAUGCCCUCCAUUGUAAUCUCACAAAGGCUAGCUUGUGCAGUAGUGAUUGGCUUCUUGGGAUGAAGCUGCUGAGCUGAGGUGAAGACAAUCACCGGUCGAGAGAUGUACUUAUAUGCUACCUGGAGCGACUGGAUGAGGCCCACAGGAUCCACAUGACGAACCGGGGAAGGGCCGUCUUUGAUGACAUCAGACCCGCUUGAUCGACACUGUCAAGGCGGCAGAGACAGGGGUGUGGGCUCGAUGGUCGGUAGGCAAUGAUUGUUCCGGCUAGCUCUUGUAAACCUGGGUCAUCCUUGUUGGUGUUGAACAUUUUUUUUGUUUCUUCUUGAUGUGUUGAGAUCGCAAAGCUUUCUUGUUUCUCUCGUAAAUCGACUGUCGGUGGACCAUGUUUUCUUCAUGCACAUGAGACAUCUGACACUGCAUCAGCAAACUCAAACAAACUUGACGCCAAGUUUAUUUUCCUGGCCGACACAACGUCGAUUUUGAUCAAGUUAAAGGCACUGCAAGCAAGCAAAUGGCCGUGAGCAUGAUCAAUUAAUCCUCUCACUCUGCAACUACUAAGCAACUACUUGGAUCUUCAGAGCACAGUCAUCAGCAACCUGGUACCAAGCACCCAGGGUUCGAAAAGGCGGUCACAAAUUCCCUUAAAUUUAACCAACAAGAACUGUGCAUGCAGCAUUCAUCCCAGACAACAGAUACUAAUGCAAAGGUAACCAGAGAC